GAUUUCUGGUUUGAUGUUGUUGGCCCGCUGGCACUCGCUGGCUGGUGCCGACUUGCGUCUACCAUCUUUCUAGAGAACUAGCAUGCCCUUCAAUGGAGCGUACUAGGGAUCUAGAUCUUUUACUUUGAAAAAAUUAGAGUGUUUCAAGCAGGCUACAAUUGCUAUGAAUACAUUAGCAUGGAAUAAUAAGUUAGGACUUCGGUUCUAUUUUGUUGGUUUCUAGAGCUGAAGUAAUGAUUGAUAGGGAUAGUUGGGGGUGCUAGUAUUCAGCGGCCAGAGGUGAAAUUCUUGGAUUCGCUGAAGACUAACUUAUGCGAAAGCAUU
This 324-nucleotide ribosomal RNA is filed under the name uncultured Allapsidae. RNAcentral describes it as "SSU rRNA". The stretch from base 58 to 324 matches the Rfam family "Eukaryotic small subunit ribosomal RNA", at positions 690 to 955 of the family's 1831-position model. Lineage: Eukaryota; Cercozoa; Glissomonadida; Viridiraptoridae. The record is from RNAcentral.